This is a long non-coding RNA of Eurytemora carolleeae, 151 nucleotides long. RefSeq lists it as uncharacterized. The transcript is spliced from 3 exons. The record is from RefSeq and is a predicted model, not a curated record. NCBI's taxonomy places the organism in Eukaryota, Metazoa, Arthropoda, Copepoda, Calanoida, Temoridae.
AGGAAAUGAUCCGGCUGGCUGACAAGGAUGGAUCAGGGGCCCUGGAUUUUCCUGAAUUUUUAAACAUGAUGAAGGAGAGAAUCAAGGAACAGAACGAGGAUGAUGACAUCAAAAAUGCUUUCAAACUGUUUGACACGGAUGGAAAUGAAUA